Tardiphaga sp. is the source of this 79-nucleotide regulatory RNA element. It matches the Rfam family "chrB-a RNA". The record is from Rfam. Lineage: Bacteria; Pseudomonadati; Pseudomonadota; Alphaproteobacteria; Hyphomicrobiales; Nitrobacteraceae.
GGCAUGGGGACAAAGCGAUCUCCCCACGAGGCGACAUGCCCAAGUAUCGCGUCCCGCAUUCCUGCAAGGACGCGCCAUG